RNAcentral lists this ribosomal RNA (433 nucleotides) under uncultured bacterium. RNAcentral describes it as "partial 16S ribosomal RNA". It matches the Rfam family "Bacterial small subunit ribosomal RNA", at positions 29 to 507 of the family's 1533-position model. The record is from RNAcentral.
AAUGAACGCUGGCGGCAUGCCUAACACAUGCAAGUCGAACGAAACCUCCGGGUCUUUUGGCGCACGGGUUCGUCACGCGUGGGAUCCUGCCCUUAGGUUCGGCAUAACUCUCCGACAGGGGUGCCAAUACCGGAUAAUGUCUACUGCCCAAUGAUUUAUCGACUUUGGUGGGUCACGCGUUGGAUUAGCUGGUGGGUAGGGUAAAAGCUUACCAAGGCGCGGAUCCAUAGCUGGUUAGAGAGGAUGGUUAGCCACACUGGGACGGGGACGCGGCCGAGACUCCUACGGGAGGCAGCAGUGGCGAAUGUUGGACAAUGGGCGGAGGCCUGAUCCAGCAAUGCCGCGUGAGUGAUGAAGGCCUUAGGGUUGUAAAGCGCUUUUACCCGGGAUGAUAAUGACAGUACCGGGAGAAUAAGCCCCGGCUAACUCCGUG